This 524-nucleotide long non-coding RNA is filed under the name Fukomys damarensis (Damara mole-rat). Its description in RNAcentral is "lncRNA (ENSFDAG00000032175.1)". Lineage: Eukaryota; Metazoa; Chordata; Mammalia; Rodentia; Bathyergidae. The record is from RNAcentral.
UCUCUUAAUUCCUCUCCCCCACUUGCCUCCAGCUCUCUGCAGACCCUUAGCAUGAGUCAUAGGAAAUCUGCAUAGCUGGGUUCAAAGACCAAUUUCCCCUCCUGCUUGUCUCUUCCUGUUAAAUAACUUGACAGAGAAAGGAGGCCAAGGAAGAGAAGGACAGAGGACUGUAUCUCCAAGGGAACGGGGCAGAAGGUCACUGACUCCUGUCACCUCAUCUCCCAUCACUUCGUGUCGUCAGAGCUGUGGCAUCACUGCCUGCGUGAUGCAGAAAGGACCUGGGACACUGUCCCAGGCAGUACUCCAGAGGACCCCCUGCAGGACAGACCCUUCCCCGGGACCAGCUGGAGCUGGGAACAACAAUGACCACAGAAGCUACCUCCCUGUUGACUGGGAGAUGGGCAGUGACAUGGGGUCCUGAGGCAGCUUCUCCUGGCAGAGCUGGAUGGAGCUGCGGUGUUUAUUUGGGUAGUGAGCUUCUAUUUAAUAUCAGUCUUUGUUUCUGGAAAUGAGACAGCUGGGGC